Molecule: ribosomal RNA, 774 nt
Filed under: uncultured Neocallimastigales
Lineage: Eukaryota; Fungi; Neocallimastigomycota; Neocallimastigomycetes; Neocallimastigales
Description: partial large subunit ribosomal RNA
Rfam family: Eukaryotic large subunit ribosomal RNA
Source: RNAcentral
UAUGUGAUCGUCUCUCGCAUAUCAAUAAGCGGAGGAAAAGAAACUAACAAGGAUUCCCCUAGUAACGGCGAGUGAAGCGGGAAGAGCUCAAAUUUGAAAUCUUAAAGGGUUUCCCUUUACGAAUUGUAGUUUAAAGAAGUGUUUUCUGUUGAGGUUUUGGUAAAAGUUCUUUGGAAUAGGACAUCAUAGAGGGUGAGAAUCCCGUAUUUGACCUUUACUUUCAACUUUGUGAUACACUUUCAAAGAGUCGGAUUGUUUGGGAAUGCAGUCCAAAAUGGGUGGUAAAUUUCAUCUAAAGCUAAAUAUAGGCGAGAGACCGAUAGCGAACAAGUACCGUGAGGGAAAGAUGAAAAGAACUUUGAAAAGAGAGUUAAACAGUACGUGAAAUUGUCAAAAGGGAAGCGUUUGACACCAGUGUUGUUUUUCUGAAAAUCAAUUAAAGAACUGUUUAUGCUAAGCUGUUUAGACUUUAUCAGCUAUCUGUUUAGUUUUGAGCUUUUCUUUAAUGCACUUUUCAGUUAACAAGUCAACAUCAAUUUCUUUUGCUGUAAAAAAGCUUGAGGAAGGUGGCUUGAGAUUCGUCUUAAGUGUUUAUAGCCUCUUGCCUAUGCAGUCGGAGAGAUUGAGGUCUGCAGCGUAGAUCCUUCGGGGCUAAAUGCAUUUGUGCUAAGUUAUAGCAUUUUAUAGACAACUUGUUGACUAUGAUUUGUCUUGUAGCUUACUCGCUUAUGUUAUUUUACCUACGCUUAGGAUGUUGAGCGCAUGUCUCUCUCU